ACUCCUACGGGAGGCAGCAGUGAGGAAUCUUCCACAAUGGACGAAAGUCUGAUGGAGCGACACCGCGUGAAGGAUGAAGGUCUAACGGUUGUAAACUUCUUUUCUGAAGGAGCAUAAUGAGAGUACUUCAGGAAUAAGGGAUGGCUAAAUACGUGCCAGCAGCCGCGGUAAUACGUAUGUCUCAAGCGUUACCCGGAAUCACUGGGUGUAAAGGGUUCGUAGGCGGAAAUUUAAGUCAGGUAUGAAAGACCGGAGCUCAACUCCGAGUUUGUGCUUGAAACUGGAUUUCUAGAAUUAGGGAGAGGUAAGCGGAAUUCUAAGUGUAGGGGGUGCAAUCCGUAGAUACUUAGAGGAACACCAAAAGCGAAGGCAGCUUACUGGAACUAUAUUGACGCUGAUGAACGAAAGCGUGGGUAGCGAAAAGGAUUAGAUA
RNAcentral lists this ribosomal RNA (433 nucleotides) under uncultured bacterium. Its description in RNAcentral is "bacterial SSU rRNA". It matches the Rfam family "Bacterial small subunit ribosomal RNA", at positions 335 to 784 of the family's 1533-position model. The record is from RNAcentral.